Molecule: long non-coding RNA, 611 nt
Filed under: Eucalyptus grandis
Lineage: Eukaryota; Viridiplantae; Streptophyta; Magnoliopsida; Myrtales; Myrtaceae
Description: long non-coding RNA (EGRA_LNC000857)
Source: RNAcentral
CAUAUUGCCUUAUUGGAGCCCGAAACGGGUCGGGAAAAAUCCCGAGAUACAUUCAAUAAAUAAUAGAGCAUUUCUACUCCCUAAUGGCUAUAGCUAACCACCUAACAUGCAUCCUCAAGUCACUAAUUUAAUUGCUCUAACCUAAUCUAACCACCUAAGUGCAUGUAAUUAAAUCUAACCAACCCUAAAACAUAAUUAACAAACUAAUAAAGCAUUAGUGAGUAAAACUCACUUGACAAAAGCGGAGAUCGAAUCACCGCAACGGCGACGCAACGGCGGCCGAAAUCGGACUUUCGACGACACCGGCGGACUUGGACCGGGCCUUAAGCUUGGCCCAACAAAUCUCAGCCCAAUUGAGAUUUGUUCUUGCACUGGAAUGGGCUGGACCUGCUGAAUUUCUGGACUGAACUAACUUGGUCUUCAAAUUGGUGGGCUGGACUUCAAUUGGUUGCUGGAAACUGGGCCUCAAAAAGGCUGGGCUUCAAUUCUAAUUGAUGAUGGGCUGAGCUCACAAGGAAAUUGCUGGACUUCAAGAUGUCAAACUGCAGGCUGCUUGAUGGACCAAAAUGCUGAUCAUUUGGGCUGUGAAGUGGGCUGUUAUUGGGCUGCCG